This 776-nucleotide ribosomal RNA is filed under the name uncultured Mycobacterium sp. Its description in RNAcentral is "bacterial SSU rRNA". It matches the Rfam family "Bacterial small subunit ribosomal RNA", at positions 571 to 1345 of the family's 1533-position model. The record is from RNAcentral. Lineage: Bacteria; Bacillati; Actinomycetota; Actinomycetes; Mycobacteriales; Mycobacteriaceae.
GUAGGUGGUUUGUCGCGUUGUUCGUGAAAUCUCACGGCUUAACUGUGAGCGUGCGGGCGAUACGGGCAGACUAGAGUACUGCAGGGGAGACUGGAAUUCCUGGUGUAGCGGUGGAAUGCGCAGAUAUCAGGAGGAACACCGGUGGCGAAGGCGGGUCUCUGGGCAGUAACUGACGCUGAGGAGCGAAAGCGUGGGGAGCGAACAGGAUUAGAUACCCUGGUAGUCCACGCCGUAAACGGUGGGUACUAGGUGUGGGUUUCCUUCCUUGGGAUCCGUGCCGUAGCUAACGCAUUAAGUACCCCGCCUGGGGAGUACGGCCGCAAGGCUAAAACUCAAAGGAAUCGACGGGGGCCCGCACAAGCGGCGGAGCAUGUGGAUUAAUUCGAUGCAACGCGAAGAACCUUACCUGGGUUUGACAUGCACAGGACGCGUCUAGAGAUAGGCGUUCCCUUGUGGCCUGUGUGCAGGUGGUGCAUGGCUGUCGUCAGCUCGUGUCGUGAGAUGUUGGGUUAAGUCCCGCAACGAGCGCAACCCUUGUCUCAUGUUGCCAGCGGGUAAUGCCGGGGACUCGUGAGAGACUGCCGGGGUCAACUCGGAGGAAGGUGGGGAUGACGUCAAGUCAUCAUGCCCCUUAUGUCCAGGGCUUCACACAUGCUACAAUGGCCGGUACAAAGGGCUGCGAUGCCGUAAGGUUAAGCGAAUCCUUUUAAAGCCGGUCUCAGUUCGGAUUGGGGUCUGCAACUCGACCCCAUGAAGUCGGAGUCGCUAGUAAUCGC